AGCAAAGUAAGCUAAGUCUAAGCUAUUGGGCCCAUGCCCCAAAAAUGUGGGUUAAAUUCCCUCCUUUUCUG
RNAcentral lists this transfer RNA (71 nucleotides) under Parupeneus barberinoides (bicolor goatfish). RNAcentral's name for it is "tRNA-Met". It matches the Rfam family "tRNA". From Rfam's summary of the family: Transfer RNA (tRNA) molecules are approximately 80 nucleotides in length. The record is from RNAcentral. Lineage: Eukaryota; Metazoa; Chordata; Actinopteri; Syngnathiformes; Mullidae.